RNAcentral lists this unclassified non-coding RNA (240 nucleotides) under soil metagenome. Its description in RNAcentral is "partial contains 5.8S ribosomal RNA, internal transcribed spacer 2, and large subunit ribosomal RNA". The record is from RNAcentral.
AACGGUCUAUACCUGCGGUACCUGCGGAGGGAUCAUUAACAAAUUCCGAAUUCAUUUGGCGUGUUUGAGUUUCAUUCUUUUCUUUCUUUUUUUCCUUUCAUUCAAGGGAUGAAUGAGAAGAAUGAAUGAACGAAUGAAACUCGUCUAAAAAAACACACAAUACAACAAAAUAAUGACAUUUUGACAAAUAAGAAAGAAUGAAAAGAGGAGAAAUUGAAUGGAAGAAUUCGUUCAAUUUCU